RNAcentral lists this ribosomal RNA (314 nucleotides) under Chromodoris annae. Its description in RNAcentral is "partial 16S ribosomal RNA". It matches the Rfam family "Bacterial large subunit ribosomal RNA", at positions 1939 to 2531 of the family's 2925-position model. The record is from RNAcentral. Lineage: Eukaryota; Metazoa; Mollusca; Gastropoda; Nudibranchia; Chromodorididae.
ACUUUGACCGUGCUAAGGUAGCACAAUCAAUUGGCCCUUAAUUAGGGUCAGGUAUGAAUGGAGUUACGGGGCUUAGCUGUCUCUAAACUAUUUAAUUGAAGUUGCUGUAUAGGUGAAAAAGCCUAUAUUAAGAAAAAAGACGAGAAGACCCUUAGAGUUUUACUUAAGAAAGAAUUAUUUCUUCACUAGUUUUGUUGGGGCAACAUAGGAGAAGAAUUAAACCUCCUAAAGCAUAUAAACCGAUGUUUUUAAAUAUGAAUAAACUACCUUAGGGAUAACAGCAUAAUUUUAAAAAUAAGUUUGUGACCUCGAUG